Myotis davidii is the source of this 75-nucleotide non-coding RNA. Lineage: Eukaryota; Metazoa; Chordata; Mammalia; Chiroptera; Vespertilionidae. The record is from Rfam.
GGCAGUUCUCAAGUGACGCACCCCAGAAUCAAGCUCCCUCCUCUCUGGUUCUGGGUGCGUCACUGGAGAACCACC